AAUCUCAUAGCUCAAAUGGUUAGAGCACCGGUCUUUUAAACCGGGGAGUAGAGGUUCGAAUCCUCUCGGGAUCA
RNAcentral lists this transfer RNA (74 nucleotides) under Chryseobacterium defluvii. RNAcentral describes it as "tRNA-Lys". It matches the Rfam family "tRNA". From Rfam's summary of the family: Transfer RNA (tRNA) molecules are approximately 80 nucleotides in length. Their secondary structure includes four short double-helical elements and three loops (D, anti-codon, and T loops). The record is from RNAcentral. Lineage: Bacteria; Pseudomonadati; Bacteroidota; Flavobacteriia; Flavobacteriales; Weeksellaceae.